UAGUCCACGCCGUAAACGAUGGAUACUAGCUGUUCGAUCUUCGGAUUGAGUGGCUAAGCGAAAGUGAUAAGUAUCCCACCUGGGGAGUACGUUCGCAAGAAUGAAACUCAAAGGAAUUGACGGGGGCCCGCACAAGCGGUGGAGCAUGUGGUUUAAUUCGAUGAUACGCGAGGAACCUUACCAGGGCUUAAAUGUAGUUUGACAGAUUUGGAAACAGAUUUUUCUUCGGACAGAUUACAAGGUGCUGCAUGGUUGUCGUCAGCUCGUGCCGUGAGGUGUCAGGUUAAGUCCUAUAACGAGCGCAACCCCUGUUGUUAGUUGCCAGCGAGUGAUGUCGGGAACUCUAACAAGACUGCCGGUGCAAACCGUGAGGAAGGUGGGGACGACGUCAAAUCAUCACGGCCCUUACGUCCUGGGCCACACACGUGCUACAAUGGCCGGUACAAUGAGCAGCGAACUCGCGAGGGAAGCAAAUCUCAUAAAACCGGUCUCAGUUCGAAUUGCAGG
Molecule: ribosomal RNA, 507 nt
Filed under: uncultured bacterium
Lineage: Bacteria
Description: bacterial SSU rRNA
Rfam family: Bacterial small subunit ribosomal RNA
Source: RNAcentral